Molecule: long non-coding RNA, 257 nt
Organism: Scomber japonicus (chub mackerel)
Lineage: Eukaryota; Metazoa; Chordata; Actinopteri; Scombriformes; Scombridae
Exons: 3
Source: RefSeq, a predicted model, not a curated record
CCUUUUUCGAGAGGGCACAGUUUUAUGGAGUAUUCAAAAAGGUCAUGAAGCCUCCACUGUUGGACAAAGUAAAGCAAUCAAUCGCCCUGAUGAAGGCUUUACCGAAUAUGUUCCCAUCACCUGUGUCUCCACCCAAGAAGUUAGGACAUGCAAGUGAGGCUUUGCUUCACAUCCUUGAGCCUGCAGAAGACCCCAACACUUUUCUUCAGACAAGACCACUCUCCAGCCCGGUCGUAGUCGUCUGUGAGACCAACUGC